AGAGUUUGAUCCUGGCUCAGGAUGAACGCUGGCGGCGUGCCUAAUACAUGCAAGUCGAACGCUUUGUCUUUAAUUGAUCUGACGAGCUUGCUCUAAUUUGAUUUUAUCUGACAAAGAGUGGCGCACGGGUGAGUAACACGUGGGUAACCUACCUCUUAGCAGGGGAUAACAUUUGGAAACAAGUGCUAAUACCGUAUAAUACCAACAACCGCAUGGUUGUUGGUUGAAAGAUGGUUCUGCUAUCACUAAGAGAUGGACCCGCGGUGCAUUAGCUAGUUGGUAAGGUAACGGCUUACCAAGGCAAUGAUGCAUAGCCGAGUUGAGAGACUGAUCGGCCACAAUGGGACUGAGACACGGCCCAUACUCCUACGGGAGGCAGCAGUAGGGAAUCUUCCACAAUGGGCGCAAGCCUGAUGGAGCAACGCCGCGUGUGUGAUGGAGGGUUUCGGCUCGUAAAACACUGUUAUAAGAGAAGAACGGCACUGAGAGUAACUGUUCAGUGUGUGACGGUAUCUUACCAGAAAGGAACGGCUAAAUACGUGCCAGCAGCCGCGGUAAUACGUAUGUUCCAAGCGUUAUCCGGAUUUAUUGGGCGUAAAGCGAGCGCAGACAGUUAUUUAAGUCUGAAGUGAAAGCCCUCAGCUCAACUGAGGAAUGGCUUUGGAAACUGGAUGACUUGAGUGCAGUAGAGGAAAGUGGAACUCCAUGUGUAGCGGUGAAAUGCGUAGAUAUAUGGAAGAACACCAGUGGCGAAGGCGGCUUUCUGGACUGUAACUGACGUUGAGGCUCGAAAGUGUGGGUAGCAAACAGGAUUAGAUACCCUGGUAGUCCACACCGUAAACGAUGAGUGCUAGAUGUUCGAGGGUUUCCGC
This 872-nucleotide ribosomal RNA is filed under the name uncultured bacterium. RNAcentral's name for it is "bacterial SSU rRNA". It matches the Rfam family "Bacterial small subunit ribosomal RNA", at positions 8 to 837 of the family's 1533-position model. The record is from RNAcentral.